Molecule: unclassified non-coding RNA, 617 nt
Filed under: Scleria triglomerata
Lineage: Eukaryota; Viridiplantae; Streptophyta; Magnoliopsida; Poales; Cyperaceae
Description: sequence contains ITS1, 5.8S rRNA gene, ITS2
Rfam family: 5.8S ribosomal RNA (bases 237-391)
Source: RNAcentral
GAACCUGCGGAAGGAUCAUUGUCGGUGACCCGUGAAAAAACGACCGGAGCACACGUGAUAGAACACCGCUGGAGCGGCGGCGCCGCACCAGCCAACCGGCCACAGUCCUCGUGCCCUCCGGCGCGUCGGCUGCGGGCUGAUUACGGCGUGGGCUGACGCCAAGUAACACGCGAUGCGGAGGCGGCGGCGGCUCGCUGGAGCGUGCCGCCCGCUGCCGACGCGAAGGAAAUUAACAUGACUCUCGGCAACGGAUAUCUCGGCUCUCGCAUCGAUGAAGAACGUAGCGAAAUGCGAUACGUGGUGUGAAUUGCAGAAUCCCGCGAACCAUCGAGUUUUUGAACGCAAGUUGCGCCCGAGGGUCCUGCCCGAGGGCACGCCUGCCUCAUGGGCGUAAUAAGCCCAUCAACGCUCGUGUGUCUCAGCCACGUUCCUUGCGACUGGCCUGGCCCGAUGCGGAUGAUGGCCCUCCGAGCCCGAGGGCACGGCGGGCCCAAGUGUGCGUCGGUCGGAUGUGGCCGGGAGCGGCGAGUGGUGGGAUCCUGCGCGCGCCGCCCCGUGCCUGUGCCGGCGUCGGGCGUUUUGCUUUGACCCCGUACGAGGAGCUCGUUGUCGGCGCG